AUGAACGCUGGCGGCGUGCCUCAUACAUGCAAGUCGAGCGAACGGACGAGAAGCUUGCUUUUCUGAUGUUAGCGGCGGACGGGUGAGUAACACGUGGAUAACCUACCUAUAAGACUGGGAUAACUUCGGGAAACCGGAGCUAAUACCGGAUAAUAUUUUGAACCGCAUGGUUCAAAAGUGAAAGACGGUCUUGCUGUCACUUAUAGAUGGAUCCGCGCUGCAUUAGCUAGUUGGUAAGGUAACGGCUUACCAAGGCAACGAUGCAUAGCCGACCUGAGAGGGUGAUCGGCCACACUGGAACUGAGAAACGGUCCAGACUCCUACGGGAGGCAGCAGUAGGGAAUCUUCCGCAAUGGGCGAAAGCCUGACGGAGCAACGCCGCGUGAGUGAUGAAGGUCUUCGGAUCGUAAAACUCUGUUAUUAGGGAAGAACAUAUGUGUAAGUAACUGUGCACAUCUUGACGGUACCUAAUCAGAAAGCCACGGCUAACUACGUG
RNAcentral lists this ribosomal RNA (496 nucleotides) under uncultured bacterium. RNAcentral's name for it is "partial 16S ribosomal RNA". It matches the Rfam family "Bacterial small subunit ribosomal RNA", at positions 29 to 507 of the family's 1533-position model. The record is from RNAcentral.